Long non-coding RNA from Brachypodium distachyon (stiff brome), 625 nucleotides. RefSeq lists it as uncharacterized. The record is from RefSeq and is a predicted model, not a curated record. The transcript has 3 exons. NCBI's taxonomy places the organism in Eukaryota, Viridiplantae, Streptophyta, Magnoliopsida, Poales, Poaceae.
GGGAAGGCGUUAAUGGCGAGCGGUACGUAUGAUCUGUCGAUCUAAUUUCUAAUCUCGAGUAGGGAGUGUAUUAUAUCGAUUUGAUCUGCGCUGGCGACAGAGGGUUGUAGUACUGCUACUGUACCGGGACUUCUCUUUGAAGAGGUAUGUAGGUGUUUAUGGUGGGCCAAAGCGUGUGGGCGCAGGUUCCAAGCACUUGCAGAGGUGGCUUGUGUCGCCAUAUCAAAUUUUAACCUCGCACACUAUUUUUUCAGGAAAUUCCAUUUUUGUUGAUGACUUGUGCAUAGAGGGGCAACCCCAUUGGAUACUAGCAAUGUGAUGCUUGGAUGAAAAAUAUCUUUGCAGUACUCUUACACGUGGAACAAGUUUUACCAGAUCAAGGGAAGAGGACUACAAAAAUAGCGAUGUGUGAUGACAAUGAUGGUCGGUUAUACUUUUGACUUCUCACAGUACAACAUUUGAACCUAUCUAUAUGGAGAAGGUUUUUAUUAAUGAAAAUCAUUCCUUGGCGACCCAGACCCGUAAGGAUCCGGAGUCGCACAUUGGCCCCUCUCCGGAUGACGAUACCCAAGUAAGGGUUUCCCGCUAGUUAUUCGACUAAACUAGAGCCAUAAUAGCAAGUGAU